RNAcentral lists this ribosomal RNA (783 nucleotides) under Staphylococcus sp. RNAcentral describes it as "bacterial SSU rRNA". It matches the Rfam family "Bacterial small subunit ribosomal RNA", at positions 85 to 854 of the family's 1533-position model. Lineage: Bacteria; Bacillati; Bacillota; Bacilli; Caryophanales; Staphylococcaceae. The record is from RNAcentral.
UUUGAAGUUAGCGGCGGACGGGUGAGUAACACGUGGGUAACCUACCUAUAAGACUGGGAUAACUUCGGGAAACCGGAGCUAAUACCGGAUAACAUUUAGAACCGCAUGGUUCUAAAGUGAAAGAUGGUUUUGCUAUCACUUAUAGAUGGACCCGCGCCGUAUUAGCUAGUUGGUAAGGUAACGGCUUACCAAGGCGACGAUACGUAGCCGACCUGAGAGGGUGAUCGGCCACACUGGAACUGAGACACGGUCCAGACUCCUACGGGAGGCAGCAGUAGGGAAUCUUCCGCAAUGGGCGAAAGCCUGACGGAGCAACGCCGCGUGAGUGAUGAAGGGUUUCGGCUCGUAAAACUCUGUUAUUAGGGAAGAACAAAUGUGUAAGUAACUGUGCACAUCUUGACGGUACCUAAUCAGAAAGCCACGGCUAACUACGUGCCAGCAGCCGCGGUAAUACGUAGGUGGCAAGCGUUAUCCGGAAUUAUUGGGCGUAAAGCGCGCGUAGGCGGUUUCUUAAGUCUGAUGUGAAAGCCCACGGCUCAACCGUGGAGGGUCAUUGGAAACUGGGAAACUUGAGUGCAGAAGAGGAAAGUGGAAUUCCAUGUGUAGCGGUGAAAUGCGCAGAGAUAUGGAGGAACACCAGUGGCGAAGGCGACUUUCUGGUCUGUAACUGACGCUGAUGUGCGAAAGCGUGGGGAUCAAACAGGAUUAGAUACCCUGGUAGUCCACGCCGUAAACGAUGAGUGCUAAGUGUUAGGGGGUUUCCGCCCCUUAGUGCUGCAGCUA